Molecule: ribosomal RNA, 484 nt
Filed under: uncultured bacterium
Lineage: Bacteria
Description: partial 16S ribosomal RNA
Rfam family: Bacterial small subunit ribosomal RNA
Source: RNAcentral
AUUGAACGCUGGCGGCAGGCCUAACACAUGCAAGUCGAGCGGAUGAAGGGAGCUUGCUCCUGGAUUCAGCGGCGGACGGGUGAGUAAUGCCUAGGAAUCUGCCUGGUAGUGGGGGAUAACGUCCGGAAACGGGCGCUAAUACCGCAUACGUCCUGAGGGAGAAAGUGGGGGAUCUUCGGACCUCACGCUAUCAGAUGAGCCUAGGUCGGAUUAGCUAGUUGGUGGGGUAAAGGCCUACCAAGGCGACGAUCCGUAACUGGUCUGAGAGGAUGAUCAGUCACACUGGAACUGAGACUCGGCCCAGACUCCUACAGGAGGCAGCAGUGGGGAAUAUUGGACGAGGGGCGAAAGCCUGAUCCAGCCAUGCCGCGUGUGUGAAGAAGGUCUUCGGAUUGUAAAGCACUUUAAGUUGGGAGGAAGGGCAGUAAGUUAAUACCUUGCUGUUUUGACGUUACCAACAGAAUAAGCACCGGCUAACUUCGUG